Molecule: ribosomal RNA, 540 nt
Filed under: uncultured Geobacteraceae bacterium
Lineage: Bacteria; Pseudomonadati; Thermodesulfobacteriota; Desulfuromonadia; Geobacterales; Geobacteraceae
Description: bacterial SSU rRNA
Rfam family: Bacterial small subunit ribosomal RNA
Source: RNAcentral
GAGUUUGAUCCUGGCUCAGAACGAACGCUGGCGGCGUGCUUAACACAUGCAAGUCGAACGUGAUCCAGAGCUUGCUCUGGUGAAAGUGGCGCACGGGUGAGUAACGCGUGGAUAACCUACCCUGGUAUCCGGGAUAACAUUCCGAAAGGGGUGCUAAUACCGGAUAAGCCCACGGGCUCUUUGGAGCUUGCGGGAAAAGGUGGCCUCUAUUUAUAAGCUACUGUAUCAGGAUGGGUCCGCGUACCAUUAGCUAGUUGGCGGUGUAACGGACCACCAAGGCGACGAUGGUUAGCUGGUCUGARAGGAUGAUCAGCCACACUGGAACUGAGACACGGUCCAGACUCCUACGGGAGGCAGCAGUGGGGAAUUUUGCGCAAUGGGGGAAACCCUGACGCAGCAACGCCGCGUGAGUGAUGAAGGCCUUUGGGUCGUAAAGCUCUGUCAGAGGGGAAGAAAUGAUAUAGUGCUAAUACCACUUUAUCUUGACGGUACCCUCAAAGGAAGCACCGGCUAACUCCGUGCCAGCAGCCGCGGUAAUAC